AGCUUUCUGUAGUUUAUAAAUUUGUUGAUGGGGUUUCCAUGCCAUUACAUGAAAUAGGCUCCCUCAAACCUAUUUAUGAUGUUGGCAUAUUUCCCUUCUGGCA
Marmota flaviventris (yellow-bellied marmot) is the source of this 103-nucleotide small nucleolar RNA. RefSeq annotates it as small nucleolar RNA U13. The record is from RefSeq and is a predicted model, not a curated record. Lineage: Eukaryota; Metazoa; Chordata; Mammalia; Rodentia; Sciuridae.